RNAcentral lists this ribosomal RNA (253 nucleotides) under uncultured bacterium. RNAcentral's name for it is "partial 16S ribosomal RNA". It matches the Rfam family "Bacterial small subunit ribosomal RNA", at positions 524 to 776 of the family's 1533-position model. The record is from RNAcentral.
UACGGGGGGGGCAAGCGUUGUUCGGAAUUACUGGGCGUAAAGGGCUCGUAGGCGGCCAACUAAGUCAUACGUGAAAUCCCUCGGCUUAACCGGGGAACUGCGUCUGAUACUGGAUGGCUUGAGGUUGGGAGAGGGAUGUGGAAUUCCAGGUGUAGCGGUGAAAUGCGUAGAUAUCUGGAGGAACACCGGUGGCGAAGGCGGCAUCCUGGACCGGCAUUGACGCUGAGGCGCGAAAGCUAGGGGAGCAAACGGG